GGGGUGUGGAAUUAGGUACUUGCAGUUCCCGUUCUAAGCGGAAUGCGGGUAACGGCGUCGGCAACUAUUGUAACCGAAGUGAAUGUUUAACGACGGGACUACGGUCCCAGCCAAAAAGCAAAAGCCACGCUUGCUGUCAGAAGUGGGAUUCGAACCCACGCCUCCAGGGGAGACUGCGACCUGAACGCAGCGCCUUAGACCGCUCGGCCAUCCUGACUGCCGCGAAAGCGCGCUUUGCCAAAAGCCUUGGGAAGCUAUGGCCGAAGCUUCUGCGGACAACGCAAUGUGCACGUUCUGCGGCGGGCUGCGGAGCCGAGCUCUGCAAACUGCGCAGAGACCCGGAAGGGGAAGCUGGAAUAGGAGCAGGGCCUCGGACCGCUGGGGAGCCUGGCACGCCGCCCCCAGGGCCGAGAAUUGGCCGGGCUGGGGGCGAAACCGGUGCGAGAGAGACGGAUUGCAACUUGCGCAAAGUGAUGUCGUGCCGGUUAGGUUGCGCCUCCUGCGGCCCGCCGGGAGGGGCGUUUCUGCUUGGUAAAAAUCAUGGGCUGAUUUGUCAGCGUUGCCCCCCGCCCUCCCCCUCCCCCCCGCCCUCCCCUCCCCCUCCCCCACACCUUUAUUACACAGUGAGAAACUGAGGCCUCGUCAAUGGCAGAAGAAAACAGGAAAAGCCUUUUGUUUCUACAACCGCAAAGAAUUCACAAACAAAAAAAAAAGAGAGAGAGGAAGAAGAAACAACCAGGAGUGAGACGAUCUGAAGCGCAUUUUAUGAGUAAAUAAGGAACACAACCUACGGACCGCGGCGGCUCUGGAUGCCUUUUCGCCGACUUUCCCAUCGAGCACCGUUGCCAGUGUGGGCAACCAUUUGAGCAAUCCCGGGGGGCGGGGGCGGCCGCCGGCGGGGACGCGGGGGAAGGGAAAGGAGAUGGAGAGGCGUCGUCUGCAUCGCUAACGUUUCCUCCUUCUCUUUAACUGUCGUCAGACAACAAGGCAAUAAUUCGGGUCCGGGCUUGCCGCGCGUGCCGGUUUCCCCGGUGCUAAUUAAUACGUGAGAAAGUUGAACGAUGUAACUUAGUGCUUGAAGGGCCGGCUCCAGCUUAUCCUUGAAUGGCCACCUUCCCCUCCCCCCGUUUAGAAAUUCCCAGUGGAAAACUUUUUCCCAAUACCUUCUACCGAAGGAGUUCUUCGCCUUGUUUAAGUCAUGGCCUCCUUUGGCAGGUUGGUGAAUGUUAAAGACCGAGGAAUAGUGUUUUUAAGUUAAUAAAAUACAUAGGGUUACAAAGAAAACUAUUCGAUUGAAAAAUAGAUACUUAAUAAUAGAUCCCCCAUCCAGGCUACAGACUUCCUGAAUUCUACCCACAGAGCACAAGAAGCCCGAGGAUCCAAAACGCAGAAGGGCGGGCUUUAGAUCCGAGGCCGGCGCUGAUCCCAGAUCCAAACGGAUCCACUCUUGCUUUCUGGGCGAGGCGGCCUCCGUGCGGAGUCUCUCCGCGUGAAUAAUGAGGUCCUGAGUGGUGUUGGGCAGAGAGACCGAAGGACUGACCCCUGAGACGGGCAGCAAGAAGGCGCGGAGACAUCAGUGGGAAGUGUUUCUCAGCUGAAAGAUGAUGACGGCGGAUAUCCACGAUCUCUUCAGAAACACAGAUUGGUGGGCAGUCUUGGUCGUAGCAAUCGGCUUGAAUUCAAGAUUAAAAAAAAUCCAUUAUAGCAAACUGAGGCCUUUAAUCUGGGGAGGUGAGCUAUACCUGGAGUGUCACGCAGCAAGUGCUAGGAUACUGGAGGAGGGGGGCUGGGGCUGGGAUUUAGAUAGGGCUCUAAGGCAGAGGGAAGGGCCAAGGUGCAGGGGGAACAGUUUAGACAAAGGGAGAGGGGCUGCAGGUGCCAAGGGAUCGGGACAUACUUUGGUUUCACUAAGUAAGUUGUUUUGUAUAACACCUGAAAGUUCAUAAAGAAAACUCGGGAAUCCUGGAGAGGAAAAUUUAGGACAUUUUCAAGAUAGAGGCUGGGAGUGUUAACAACUGGUCAUCCUUAGGCAAUUUAUGGGUCUGAGAAUGGGGACAAGGUCUGAUUCAGUCAGCUGAGUUGGACAUACCUGUUGGAAUCUUUUACAAAGUGUGAAGACAUUGGAGUUGAUUUGAUCUGAUUUUGGGCCAGAACUUGAAACAAGGUAUUAGGUGGAACUGAUUGAACAAUGCUUGUGUUCACACCUUUAGAGAGCUCAGGUAUCUAAGUACUCAGUGGAGUUCACACGAGAGUUCAGGGCUAGUAUGAGAGCUGAAUUCACAUCUCCCUUAGGACCAGAGAGCACUCUGGGAGAUAACCCAUAAUCCCUGCCUCGAGAAGGCAGAGUUAACCUUUGGGAGAUCACAUAAAUGAAGGAAGCUCCUGGAGCAAAGGAGGAUUUUCUCCGGAACAUCAACAGGGCUCUGAGACAGAACACUCUGGAAGAAAAGACUACUGGCCACAGACUGGAGAUGGAGAAGCCACGAGUCAGAGCUGACUAGAGGCUGAAGAAAGCAGAGGCAGAAGCCAAAGGCAAAACUGCAAGAUCCCUUGGAGCCAGGCAGAGUUAGGCCUCAACUAACCAGGCUGAUUUGUAAAGAGAAAUAAACGUUUGCAAUUUUUAGCAGCUGGCUGAGAUUUUGGAUUAAUUAUUUAUUGCAGCUGAGACUGAGGAAAACCACCAACACAUACCCAAGCAUCAGCAGGUAGGAUAGAAAC
Molecule: transfer RNA, 2718 nt
Filed under: Sarcophilus harrisii (Tasmanian devil)
Lineage: Eukaryota; Metazoa; Chordata; Mammalia; Dasyuromorphia; Dasyuridae
Description: lncRNA (ENSSHAG00000027926.1)
Source: RNAcentral